CCGCCAUGCUUUUUCCUGAGGAGCUGAAGCCACCGCAUCUCACAGAUCCUGGACUCUGUCCGUUGCCCCACCAACCCGGAACGCCCUCCCUUCCCAGCCAUCUAGUGUCACACCUGGAGGUGACUUAGCAGGGUCACCAGUGGCCUCAGGACAGACUUCCAGUGACA
Molecule: long non-coding RNA, 167 nt
Filed under: Ailuropoda melanoleuca (giant panda)
Lineage: Eukaryota; Metazoa; Chordata; Mammalia; Carnivora; Ursidae
Description: lncRNA (ENSAMEG00000028506.1)
Source: RNAcentral